UUUGAUCAUGGCUCAGAUUGAACGCUGGCGGCAGGCUUAACACAUGCAAGUCGAGCGGGGGAAGGUAGCUUGCUACUGGACCUAGCGGCGGACGGGUGAGUAAUGCUUAGGAAUCUGCCUAUUAGUGGGGGACAACAUCUCGAAAGGGAUGCUAAUACCGCAUACGUCCUACGGGAGAAAGCAGGGGAUCUUCGGACCUUGCGCUAAUAGAUGAGCCUAAGUCGGAUUAGCUAGUUGGUGGGGUAAAGGCCUACCAAGGCGACGAUCUGUAGCGGGUCUGAGAGGAUGAUCCGCCACACUGGGACUGAGACACGGCCCAGACUCCUACGGGAGGCAGCAGUGGGGAAUAUUGGACAAUGGGGGGAACCCUGAUCCAGCCAUGCCGCGUGUGUGAAGAAGGCCUUAUG
Molecule: ribosomal RNA, 407 nt
Filed under: Acinetobacter baumannii
Lineage: Bacteria; Pseudomonadati; Pseudomonadota; Gammaproteobacteria; Moraxellales; Moraxellaceae
Description: bacterial SSU rRNA
Rfam family: Bacterial small subunit ribosomal RNA
Source: RNAcentral